Pseudophryne corroboree (corroboree frog) is the source of this 3981-nucleotide RNA transcript. RefSeq lists it as uncharacterized. The transcript has 5 exons. NCBI's taxonomy places the organism in Eukaryota, Metazoa, Chordata, Amphibia, Anura, Myobatrachidae. The record is from RefSeq and is a predicted model, not a curated record.
UUUGACAACAGUGUAGUUGCCUGUGCCAUUUUAAAUAAAGUUUAUUUAAAAGAAACUUGAACAGCAGUUUGGGAAGUCAGUUGGAGCCAUGGUGAGGAAAGAGCUGGCGACGCCAUUACGCAGAGAUGAGCAGCUGAGAGAGGGGAGACAAAUAAGCUGAAAAUUGCAUGAGAGAGUAAGCAGAAGUGCAAAAUACAGCAGUGGAAGUGCAGCAAUUAACAACCCUGCCUGCCUUUCUUUGUGUCUGGGGAAACCUUGCCUCUCUGCCAGGAAUAGAGAAGAGCUGCAGCUGAAGGAGGAAUAGUCCAUCAAGGUAUCCCUGACCUGUUCCACAUAGUUUACACACUUGUUAUACCGGGGUGUUACAAAUGGCGUCCUCGAACAGGAUUUGCAGAGUCCAAAGCAAGCCUUACCCCCAGCACAGAGAAGAUGUCACAAAACAGGCAACCUGCAGGAGAGGGACCAGCACCCAUUGUUGAAGAUCCAGUAAGAGCAGCUCCAGUUAUGACUCCUGCUACCCCAAUCACCAUGCCAUACUACUUUGGGGCCCCUUGGCUCCCAAUCUACACAGGUAUUGCCCACAGCACUGAAACCAGCAUCUUAGGAGAUUUCAAGAUGAAAAUGCAGUCUUUGUUUCGUCUGUACCCGCUGAAGGAGCAGCAAAAGGUGGAGAUCUUGAUGGGACAGUUGAAAGGGCUUGCACUUAGAGAGGUUACUUCCUGGCCUACUGAAGAGAAGAAGACUGUGGACCAGAUCCUCAACAGGCUUGCUACCACAUUUGACACAAGGACAGUGUCAGAACUUAAAAUGCACUUCUUUGCUCGAAAGCAACAACCAGGAGAGUCACUACGGGGCUAUGCCCUCAGCUUGCAGGAAGCACUCAGAGAUGUUCAGCAAGCAGACCCUGAGGAAGUGCAUGACAAAGAGAAAAUGUUAUUGGACCAGUUCACUGAAGGUGCAAGGGGCGAAUUUGUAAAAACUCAGCUGCGACUAUUGAGAUUGCAGAAGCCUGGAAGCACAUUCCUGGAUUUUAAAGAGGCUGCGAUUGAAGUUCUAGGCUCCAGUCUUACUUCAGGGGCUGUUCCACAAGAGUCUAUUCCAGAGAUGCCAAGGUAUCAAGAGAAUUCUGAUGCCCAGGAGUCAAGUUUUAAAGGAGCUACUUACCCACCUACAGUAAAAGGAGUGACAGUGCCAUGUUCAAAGACAUGCAUAUCUGACUCUUCUAGUGAGUUACGAGGUCAGCUGGCUGAACUGACACGUGGUGUGACAGAGAUGCGCAGAGACCUGCAGAUUCUGAAGAGACAGCAGGCACUGCUCCAUGAAGAAAUGGAAUGGUGCCAGGAGAGGAGACCACUGAACAGUUCCCAAUGGGACGUACAUAGAAACAGGGAGAUACUUUUUUCCAACCACUUUGCCUCCCAAAGGCGACCCAUUUUUCAAAGCUGUGAAGGAAGCGGACAAAUUAAGAGAGAAUUUGAGCAGCCAGAUCAUUUAAACUCCAAAUUCAUGUGGUCAACCCGUUAUGUUAGCCAAUGCCCGGUGGUUCAAGUUUGCAUCAAUGGAGUCUCAAUGCCCGCUCUCUUAGACACUGGAUCACAAGUGACCACAAUACAAGCAACACAGUUUGAGCAGCAUUGGACUGAGGAACAGAUGUUUCCGUCAACUUCCACAUUGAUAAACCCGAUUGCAAGCAAUGGGCACUGCAUCCCUUGCAAAGGAUACUGGGAAGCUGAAAUUCAAAUCGGACGAACAGUGCUACCACAGCAAGGCUUCAUCAUCACCACUGUCCAAGAUGAUGGAUUGCCUCCAGUGAUAGUGGGCAUGAAUGUGUUGCGGAACUGCUGUGAGGAGCUCGUAGCAGCACUCCAAGGAGAGUUUCAAACUGACAAGCUCCAGGAGAAACAAGGCCUUCAACCUGGGAUAGCCAAACAAAAGGGAAGAAUGAUAACAGAAUUAUCUGUAAGAGAGGAACAUGAAAAAAAUAAGGCUAGCCAAACAAUGAUAGAAAUGCCCAUCUCCAGUGUCCAGAUUAUCCGAAAGAAUGCUUCAAUGUUAGGCAUGAAUAAUAUAGCAUCCAGUUCUAGAAACUGUGAGCAACCUAUUCAAGGAACCAGUUUUGACCACCUGCAAGAUAAAAGUCAGAUGAUAAGACACCUCAAAGCCUUACUGAAGACUGGGAAAUACCUGACCAAGCGACAAAGGCAAGAAUCCUCGCCAGAACUCCUGAAGUUGUUGAGACAGCGAGAAAGGCUGUUUGAAAAGAAAGGACAGUUGGUUCGAUGUAGUGUGGAUCCUAAUACUCAUUAUAGGAUCAGUCAACUUGUAAUUCCAAGACAAAGUGCUUGUUAUGUGCUUGAAGAAUAUCACGACAAGUCAGGUCACCCUGGGUGCAAAAGGAUGGAAACAAGCAUCUGGAAAAAGUUCUUUUGGGUUGAAAUGAGGGAAGACAUCAAGAGAUGGUGUCGAAACUGUCCAACCUGUUCUGUAAGAAGAACCUUGCUGCCUCUUUCUCUCCAGAAUCCAUUGUCCCAAACCAGCUGUGAGACUGAAUCCCAAGAUGGAAUAGAAGAGGCUCAUAAAAUGUAUUUACAGCAGACUAAGGUGGUUUGUCACCGACAAGGAGGCAAGAAGACUAGGGCUUGCAAAACAGAAAACCACCAUAGUCAGCUGCAGUUUUGUACAGCAUGUCCCAAAGACAGUUUAGAAAGAGUUCAAUACUCAUCCAUGGCAGGGGGGUUGAGGUUUCCUAGACAAACUUUUCAAGACCAUAUACUGUCCAGAUUUCAACCGAUUGCUCCAGGAGCAUGUGUUAAUGUACUAUAGCACAAAAGGAAUUAUACCUAUCAGAUACUGAUGUUAAAAAUGUUGAUAAAUGUUAAUGUUUCAGACAUAAACUGUGUUCACUAAUGAAUGUGACUGGAUAUAGUGAGAAGUUUAUAUAGGGAUAAAACCAAAAUGCGUGAGGACACGCAUGUUUUGGGGGGGGCACGUGUGAUAUCCCAUAACAACAAGGACAUUUUUGACAACAGUGUAGUUGCCUGUGCCAUUUUAAAUAAAGUUUAUUUAAAAGAAACUUGAACAGCAGUUUGGGAAGUCAGUUGGAGCCAUGGUGAGGAAAGAGCUGGCGACGCCAUUACGCAGAGAUGAGCAGCUGAGAGAGGGGAGACAAAUAAGCUGAAAAUUGCAUGAGAGAGUAAGCAGAAGUGCAAAAUACAGCAGUGGAAGUGCAGCAAUUAACAACCCUGCCUGCCUUUCUUUGUGUCUGGGGAAACCUUGCCUCUCUGCCAGGAAUAGAGAAGAGCUGCAGCUGAAGGAGGAAUAGUCCAUCAAGAAGAUAAGGCAUUGACAUGGAGAGGACUAUAUUUCAUCGCAGAGGAAUGGCAGGACAUUUGUCCAAGAAGAGACACAGAGGUGGAGGCAACAUAACAUUCCUGUUAAAGCGCCACAGAUCCACUUUCCAUUCAAAGGAAUUUAAACAAUUGGUUGGCACAUAAGAAAGACCUUUGUUUAUCACAGAACUCUUUAAUAAAGCCCUCUAUAAUGGAGCAAACCGGUCAGGGAUUGCCUACGCUGGUGGAUACUUACCUGGCUACUUUGAAGUGCUUAUCUGUGAGUCCACAUAUAAUUGUGAUAGAGCUGAAUAUGGACGCCAGUGCUGCUUCAGAGAGACACCAGAACUGUGCCCAGGGGAGAGACCACAUUGCUAUUGGUAUGUGGAUACUCAACAUCAGGUAUAUAUACUGUACCUGCCCCCUAUCCGGCCAUAAACAAGCAGCAUUUAACUGGAUUGCCUGGCUCAUAUAUUAGCUCUGCACUAACUGAUGAAAUGUAAGCAUACUCUGGUACUUGUAGUUCCACGGAGGAGCAUUUCUCUGUCUACACUUUUAUAUUUGUGGUGGACUCUAAAUGUAUGAUCUCUUUAAUAGGCACUUGAUGUAUUUAUACACAGUGUGUUUUACUUAUAAUAAGGGCUAUUAACUA